This 1995-nucleotide long non-coding RNA is filed under the name Homo sapiens (human). Its description in RNAcentral is "HSALNT0234549". The record is from RNAcentral. Lineage: Eukaryota; Metazoa; Chordata; Mammalia; Primates; Hominidae.
UUUGGGUCCCCUUCCACACUGGAAGCUUUGUUCUUUUGCUCUUCACAAUAAAUCUUGCUGCUGCUCAUAGAAAGAUGCAAGCUAGUGCUAGCGAGACAGCCUGCAAAACCCCUGUGUUGUUUUGGGCUGUUAACCAUAGUCUGAGUGGCUUAGACAACAAACAUUUAUUUCUCACAGUUCUAGAGGCUAGAAGUCCAAGAGCAGAUGCCAGCAGACCUGUCUGGGGAAGGCCUGCUUCUUGGCCUGGAGACAGCCGCUUGCUCACUAUGUCUUCACAGGGCAGAGUGAACCCUGGUCUGUUUCUCUUACAAGGACACUCAUCCCACUGUGGGCCUCCACCUUUGUGAUUUCAUCUAUACCUAAAAGGCCCCACUUCCUAGUAUUCCGCCGGGGGUUCAGGCUUCAAAGAUGAAUACUGGGGGCGACACAAACGGAGCCCAUAACCUCAUGCCGCCUGACUCCUGAGGCUGUAUUCGUGAUGAACGUGUGGCUGCCCAAGUUUUGUUUUGCUCAGGCAGGAUCAGCACACACCCAGCCACAGACAGGGAAGCCCAGAGCAGGGCAGAAUAUGGUCCCUCAAGUGAAUAAUUGGCCCAGGGAUACAGAAUUAGGUGAUUCUAGCAAAUCCAGACAUUUUCUAGGGUGCCAGUGAAUUUUGGGUCUGUCCCUGUUAGCUGUUCUUGAGAUUUUGCACUCAACUUGCGAUGGUUAAUACGGAGUGUCAACUUGAUUGGAUUGAAGGAUGCAAAGUAUUGUUUCUGGGUGUGUCUGUGAGGGUGUUGCCAAAGGAGAUUAACAUUUGUGUCAGUGGGCUGGGAAAGGCAGACCCACCCUCAAUCUGGGUGGGCACCAUCUAAUCAGCUGCCAGCGUGGCCGGAAUAAAAGCAGGCAGGAGAAUGUGGAAAGACUAGACUAGUCUUGUGGCCUCCAUCUUUCUCCUGUGCUGGAUGCUUCCUGCCCUUGAACAUCGGACUCCAAGUUCUUCCGUUUUGGGACUUGGAUUAGCUUCCUUGCUCCUCAGCCUGCAGACGGCCUACUGUGGGACCCCUUCUUAUCUGAGGACCCCGUCUCUGCCUCAUUCCUCCUGUUUCCAUCAGAAGACACAGGUCUGGGACUCAGCGCAGCUGACCUGUCUGUCCCUCUCUGCACAGUUUACUCCUGGGCUCUGCAGAGAGAAGUCAGUGCCUCAAUUUUCCAUUGAAAUAUGCACCCUUGGCAUCCUGGCAGGAGUGGCAGCCACAGCAAAACAUCUUCUGCAGCGUCUGGCCAGGGCGUUACUCCAGCCCAGUUUUGCCCUGGACUAGAUUGAGUCAGGUCGUGCAUGGAACGCAAGCACAAACCACGGUCAGCUCCUCGAGACUGACCCACUGGCCCACUGAGCAGAGGAGCCCCUGGGUCUCUGGACGCUGCCCAGUUGUUGACAUCCUGAGGCAGGUUUGCGGCUGAUGGAGCAACAGGGACGGGCUGGGCCCGGCACCUUUUUCACGGAAAUGAUGAGCUCUGGACAGCAGUGAUGCCAGGGCCCAUAAAGCCUCAGGCGCCCGUCAUUGCUGCUGCCUGCGUGUGCUCGCUCACCGCGACGGCGGCGGGCUGGAGGAAGCUGUGCAAGAGCCAAGUGUCUACCAUGAGUCUGCAUGUUCAUAUGGUUCAGAUUUGCCUUGGAAUCCCCGCGAGCCAAACUCUUUCAUUUCACUUAGUAAAAGGGAUGCAUUGACUCAGAUGUUCUGUCCUAUUUAAAUGAGAGGGGCGCGGGAGGUGAUGGAACACAAAACCAUGAGCCAUGGCUUUGCUGGGGAAUGCUGUGGAUCUGGUGUGUGAUAGAGAGAGAGUGUGUGUGCGUGUGUGUGUGUGUAUGGCAAAGUGCACAAAUCGCACGUGUACACCUCAGUGGCUUUUUACACAUUUAGACGUGUGUAAGUGUAUAGAGCAUUUCCACACCCCAGAGGCCCCGAGCUCACUCCCUCCCGCUCUCCCCAUCCCUGACGCUAACCUGAU